CCUACGGGUGGCUGCAGUGAGGAAUAUUGGUCAAUGGCCGAGAGGCUGAACCAGCCAAGUCGCGUGAGGGAAGACGGCCCUACGGGUUGUAAACCUCUUUUGUCGGGGAGAAAAUAGAGUCACGUGUGACUCAUUGAGAGUAUCCGAAGAAAAAGCAUCGGCAAACUCCGUGCCAGCAGCCGCGGUUAUCCGGGGGAUGCGAGGGUUAUCCUGAUUUAUGGGGUUUAAAGGGUGAGCAGGCGGAGGUGCAAGUCAGCGGUCAAACUGCGGGGCUCAACCCCGUACUGCGGUUGAAACUGCAUCCCUUGAGUGCGCGAGAAGUAUGCGGAAUGCGUGGUGUAGCGGUGAAAUGCAUAGAGAUCACGCAGAACUCCGGUGGCGAAGGCGGCAUACCGGCGCGCAACUGACGCUCAUGCACGAAAGCGUGGGUAUCGAACAGGAUUAGAUACCCGUGUAGUC
This 459-nucleotide ribosomal RNA is filed under the name uncultured bacterium. RNAcentral's name for it is "partial 16S ribosomal RNA". It matches the Rfam family "Bacterial small subunit ribosomal RNA", at positions 338 to 795 of the family's 1533-position model. The record is from RNAcentral.